Molecule: ribosomal RNA, 536 nt
Filed under: marine sediment bacterium ISA-3177
Lineage: Bacteria
Description: bacterial SSU rRNA
Rfam family: Bacterial small subunit ribosomal RNA
Source: RNAcentral
AGUUUGAUCCCUGGCUCAGGAUGAACGCUGGCGGCGUGCCUAAUACAUGCAAGUCGAGCGAACUGAUUAGAAGCUUGCUUCUAUGACGUUAGCGGCGGACGGGUGAGUAACACGUGGGCAACCUGCCUGUAAGACUGGGAUAACUUCGGGAAACCGAAGCUAAUACCGGAUAGGAUCUUCUCCUUCAUGGGAGAUGAUUGAAAGAUGGUUUCGGCUAUCACUUACAGAUGGGCCCGCGGUGCAUUAGCUAGUUGGUGAGGUAACGGCUCACCAAGGCAACGAUGCAUAGCCGACCUGAGAGGGUGAUCGGCCACACUGGGACUGAGACACGGCCCAGACUCCUACGGGAGGCAGCAGUAGGGAAUCUUCCGCAAUGGACGAAAGUCUGACGGAGCAACGCCGCGUGAGUGAUGAAGGCUUUCGGGUCGUAAAACUCUGUUGUUAGGGAAGAACAAGUACGAGAGUAACUGCUUGUACCUUGACGGUACCUAACCAGAAAGCCACGGCUAACUACGUGCCAGCAGCCGCGGUAAUAC